This 2225-nucleotide long non-coding RNA is filed under the name Homo sapiens (human). Its description in RNAcentral is "HSALNT0173619". The record is from RNAcentral. Lineage: Eukaryota; Metazoa; Chordata; Mammalia; Primates; Hominidae.
AUCACCUCAAGGAUUGAUCAUUUCAUUAGUUGGAAACUAUGCAAACUGUUGGAAAAAACUGGAAUUGACUGGCUGUGUUUGGUUUGGACAACUCAUCGAAAUGAGAGGGAGCCCAGCACGAGUUCUGCUUGAGUGAUGUCUGAAAAUCUGGCCUCUCAGUCUACCUUAAAAGCCUACCUAUUUGGCUUUCACUAGAGUUCAGAUACAUAAAACAAAUAUCUUUGCUUUGGCUUCCCUUGAGUCAUAUCAAUCUACACCUCAUCAAGAAUAUGAAGUUUGGAAGAACAAAGAAGCAAUUGAGCAUCCUAAACUCAACGUAGGGCAAGUAACAUGGACAUUGAUACACCAAGUUCCUUCUUGUUUUUCCUUGAAAGUUGGCUUGAUGAAUGUAUUCUGCAGGGAUUUUAAAGGUGUGGAAAUGAAGCAGACAUCAAGGACUGCUGCAGUUUACUGGGGGUCCACUCCAGACCUUAGUUGCUUCAGUUUUUCCCUGUACCUGGAGGUAUCGUCAGUGAAGCCUGCAAAACAGCAAAGAUGGCAGCCUGCUCCUUCCUCUGGAAGCUCCAUCCCAGGGAUGCACUGACCUGUUGCCAGAAGGAACAUGCCUGUAGGAGGUGGCUGGAGACCCCUGCUGGGAGGUCCCACCCACUCGGGAGGAAUGGGAUCAGGGACCCACCCCAAGAAGCCCUCUGGCUGCCCUUUGGUAGAGUAGGUGCCAGGAGACCCUUCCUUGCCUGGACCAUUUGUAUUUUCCAAAGUUGGCAGGCUGGAAUGGCUGAGUUUACCAAACUGCAGAGAUGACAGCUGCUCUUCCCCUGUGAGCUUCAUUCCAGGGAGAGAUCAGAACUUUGUCUGUAGAACCCUUGCUUGUGUGGCUGAAGCCCCUGCAGGGAGGACUUGCCCAGUGAAGAGGAAUAGAUUGAGGUACCGCUUAAAGAAGCAGUCUGGCCAUGAUCUGGCAAGGCAGCUGUGCUGUGCUGCAGGGAACCUCUCCUUGCUCGAACUUCUUGUAUUCUUCAAAGCUAGCAGGCUGAAACCAAUAAAUUUAAAUUUAAAUAGGUAAAAAUAAGUAAAUAAAGAUAAAGAAAAAUAAAUUGACUGAUUUAUUCUGCCUUCAGGAGCUCUUAGAUGAUGUAGGAAAACAAAUAAUACUGUACAAUCAAAGUCGAAAUUCCUUAAGCAGAGGGUCUUAUGAGAACACAAAGGGAAGGCAACUGGAGCUUUACAGAUGACUUCCUAGACUAGAGAUACCUGAUGUGGGUCUUUAGGGUUAAGUCAUUAAUAGCAAGGCCAAGUAGAGGAAGAGCAUAUCCUACAGAGAAAAAAAGAAUAAGCAAAGGCUGGCUGUUGAGAGAAUUGCAAGUGCUUAGUAUGACUAUAGCGGUAGUCUCAACAGGAGCAGGACAUCCUUAGGGGAUGUUUUGAAAAAUUUUUGUGGAAUUUUCUUGGUCCCAGUAAUUAGUAAGCACUAUUAGCCUUAAAAUGAUAAAGGGCCACUGAGCUAGAUGUUCUGCAAUGGGCAAGACAAUUGCACACAAUGAAAAAUUGUCCCAAGUUCAAGUUUGGACAAGUUAGGGAUGUCCCUCCAGGCAUUUUUGUCAAUGAAAAACCUCUUUGUAACUGUCUUGGCAUAGAGCCUAACUCCAUAUAUACAUAUAACACAAAAUAUUUUUGCACAGUUUUAAUAUACACUAAAUUUUCCAGGGACACAAUUACAUAAAUUAAGGAAAGAUCAUGCUUUGCUGUGUUUGGAACUUAUCAAGAGUCAUUCACCAUUCUAGAAAAUAGCAUCAAAGAUGCAAUAUAGCUCUUGGUGUCUGAGUUGCCAGUUCAGCCAUCUGUGUCAAUCUGUAUUUGUAGAUAUUGCAGUCAAGGUGAUAUUAUUUUUAAGCAAAAGUGUCUGACAACUUUAUUAAGUUCCCCAAUGUAGCUGUGCCAUAGCAUUUUAGAUUAUUUUAAAUUGUAUAUUACUUUCCUUUUAUUUUUCCUCUAAUGAUAGAUACUUAGGGCAUUUUUUUUAAAAACCCAAUGAGAAGACAGGUUAUUUUAUCUAUGAGUUUCAUUUCAGGAUAGUAAAAGUGUAUUACAAAAUGCUGGUUGUAACAACGGGGACAUUAGGUUGCAAAGGACAGAAUGGGCUGGUAUGUCAGUAGCAUCUCUUUCCCCAAAGACCUCAGUUGUGACAUGUGAAACUCUAAUUGCUAUGUGAUGUUUCCAGUUGUAAG